Long non-coding RNA from Electrophorus electricus (electric eel), 201 nucleotides. RefSeq lists it as uncharacterized. Lineage: Eukaryota; Metazoa; Chordata; Actinopteri; Gymnotiformes; Gymnotidae. The record is from RefSeq and is a predicted model, not a curated record.
CGGAAGUAAACGAUGACAUCCGUUCAAGUGUAUAACUGGCACGGAUUCCAGGAACCACGCUCAUCCCAGUAAUGCCACGCCUACCUCUUCCCACCGACAUCUCCGUUCUGACCCUGUCUCCUUCCUGACCCCUGGACACGCUCUGGACUGUGCCUCUCAUUUUUGACCUUGGGCUGACCUGAGCAGGAUUACCAGCCUAAC